GACGAACGCUGGCGGCGUGCUUAACACAUGCAAGUCGAACGGAAAGGCCCUGCUUUUGUGGGGUGCUCGAGUGGCGAACGGGUGAGUAACACGUGAGUAACCUGCCCUUGACUUUGGGAUAACUUCAGGAAACUGGGGCUAAUACCGGAUAGGAGCUCCUGCUGCAUGGUGGGGGUUGGAAAGUUUCGGCGGUUGGGGAUGGACUCGCGGCUUAUCAGCUUGUUGGUGGGGUAGUGGCUUACCAAGGCUUUGACGGGUAGCCGGCCUGCGAGGGUGACCGGCCACAUUGGGACUGAGAUACGCCCCGGACUCCUACGGGAGGCAGCAGUGGGGAAUAUUGCACAAUGGGCGGAAGCCUGAUGCAGCAACGCCGCGUGCGGGAUGACGGCCUUCGGGUUGUAAACCGCUUUCGCCUGUGACGAAGCGUGAGUGACGGUAAUGGGUAGAGAAGCACCGGCUAACUACGUG
Molecule: ribosomal RNA, 468 nt
Filed under: uncultured bacterium
Lineage: Bacteria
Description: partial 16S ribosomal RNA
Rfam family: Bacterial small subunit ribosomal RNA
Source: RNAcentral